CCGUGAGGUCCACUACGGGGGAGUGUUGCCUUCCUGUGAAGCAUCUGUAGAUGGGCCUUUCCGGGAAGCAGGACUUCAGACUCGAUUAACUGUGAUCUUUCCAGGUAGAUAUUUCCAAUCUUGCGGGAGACCUGGUGAGUUCAAGAGGUCCAGAGUUCUUGAGUCAGGAUUGCCCAGCAGAAAGUGUUUCCUAUAAACAACCACACACCUCUCUCAUGAGAGAAGAUGGCCAAUGCCAAGGUAAUACUAAAGAAAGGGGAUAUAUUCAGAGUGCA
Phascolarctos cinereus (koala) is the source of this 275-nucleotide non-coding RNA. NCBI's taxonomy places the organism in Eukaryota, Metazoa, Chordata, Mammalia, Diprotodontia, Phascolarctidae. The record is from RefSeq and is a predicted model, not a curated record.